Molecule: non-coding RNA, 2148 nt
Organism: Anas platyrhynchos (mallard)
Lineage: Eukaryota; Metazoa; Chordata; Aves; Anseriformes; Anatidae
Source: RefSeq, a predicted model, not a curated record
CAGUGCAAAGGAAAAAAAAAAAUCUAAAAAUUCAGAUAAAAUCACAGGUAAGGUCAGGAUAUUUUCAGUUCUCUUUGGCAGGAAUAACAGCCUCCCUUUCUUCCUUGCCUCUUCCUCACUAAAAUGAAACAAACAACAGCAAGUAAACAACCAGAAAACACUUUCUGAUUAUUUUUUUUCUCUUAUGUGCUGCCUGUAUGCAAGGCCAGGGAAGAGUUGCUGGGGAAUAUUUUGGACGUGGCUGAAGCUGCUGUACAAGAAGAACAAACAAUUGUGUAGAAAUCCUUGUACGCUCUGCUCGGCCACAUCAGAAAGAGCAAACCCAGCACUGCCCACACCCACGCGUUUGUUGUAGAAACACACUGUUCUGACGGGGAAGCCUACACAAUAGCUGGAAGGCUCAGCAUCACAUUGCAAGUCCCUGGAUGCUUGCUUUCUGGGAAGAGUUUCCUUCAGGCUGGGACAGAGCCAGGAAAUUUGGUUUACCUGAUACACACACACGUUUGUUCUUAAUGUGCUCAGGAAAAAUACUGGUAUCGAGACUUUAGAUAUUAUCCUGAAUGUCCUAUGUAGUUACUACUUCUGUACUGCACUGGGUUUCAAAACGUUGAAGUAGGACUGACUUGGUUAGGUUAACGCACAGGCUGAACUUCAGCAGGUGCCUAUGAAAAAUUAGAAACAGCCAAAUCUGAAAGUAUCCCGAAGGCUCCAGAUCUCCACACCAAACCCUCUGCUCAAUUCAGCUACACGCAUGCGGUGCUGAGCAGAACGGCCACGGACAAACAGGGGCAGAGCUAAGGCUGCACAUUCAGCCUGGUCUCGGUCUCCCGAUUUUCAAAUGCUUGAUUCCUCACUUUAAUACUGCAUUUAUUUUUCAUUUACAUUUUUAAGAGUUACUCGUGAAAAAUAAAGUGAGGACAGCUCAAGGCAUUUUUCCCCCAAUUACUGGUUUUUCGCCACCAGGUGGCAAUGCAGCCACAGCCAUCGCCUCUUUUCUUCCCCCCCCAUUCAAUUUCAGUCACCUGCAAAUUUGUUACUAAAGCUUUUGUCUGACAUAUUUGCUUCAUCUUCAUUUAUUGCUUUUCUCUCUCAAACUUUUUAAAUCUGCUCCUCAUCCUUGUAGCCCCGUAACUGCACUCCGGCUGCCACCGGGAGCACCAGGCUGUGAUGCUCGUGACCUCCACAGCUUUUCUGUGGGGGGGAAAGAACUGGAGCUGUGUGGAUGCCCGAGGGUGUGUGGGGACAUGGAGAGAGGAGAAAUGACUGAAAUACUUUUUCCCGAAUGUCUAGACCAGAACAAGUUAGUCCUUCUAAAGCAUGACUUAGCCCCUCUGUGCUACUGACAGGGGCUUAUUUGCAAUUUUCAAUGUGAAGUUUUAUCCUUGCAAAGGCCAGUUUUGGAUGAACUCAGUUGAUGUCAGACGACUGAGAAUUUUACUUACACAGCCUCUGUAAAUGAGCAGGGAUCAGGCUCACACCUGCAGCCGCAGAGAGGUGAGCGUGUGCCUACCCAGCACAAUGCACGCGUGUGCACGCAGCCACACUGCCACCUGGCAGCACUUCUGAACAGCAGCCCUCUCAAAUAAGACUGUGAAUCUAUAAACUGAUAGUGGUUAGCUGAAUGGUUCACCACCCAACGUUAACCCACGGGAAGGGCUGUACCUUUCCAGGCCCUACCACAUCCAUCCCUCUUCAUCUGGGCAACGCAGACCUACACACGGACAUCCGGACUGAGUAAGGAAUGAGGUUCCACGAACGCAGUGUCCACUUUUAUACACGUGAGUUUUUACAAGACAAUAGGAAAUAUAGAAACUGAGAACUUCGUGUAGGAAAAGGAGUUAGUUAACCUUUAUUUCAUUUCUCCAUAGUCCCAAACUUGACAGACGUAGAAAAAUAUCCUUGAGUCUAGUAGACAAAUUUACCAAUGCUAAAUAGCCCUUUGCUCUGACCAUUUGGGCCAUCCUAGAUACAUUUGUACAAGCAUUACUUCUUUUUUUUUUUUCAGUGAAAGGUUUUGCUAAACUAUAAACAAUAAGCUACAGAGAAAAAGCUUGUUCUAUCAAAGCAUGCAUAUGAAGAUACCUUCCAAAACUUUACCCAAAAAAAAAAAAAAAAAAAAAAAGGAAAAAAGCAUCUUGACACACACCU